CAGCUGGACAAAGUCAGGUACCAAAUAAGACUGUCCCCACAAGUGGUUUGCACUUCAUACAGGCUGUGAGGGCCAUUUCUGCUGUGUGAUCUCUUCAUGCUCUUCCAUGUCCUCUGCAGCCAGGAUGCCCUCGGUGUUGCCUUGCCUGCUCCUUUCAACCUUGUCUGCCUGGACUGCAGGGACAGAGAAGGAUGUGGGCUCAGCCCUGGGAGCAGUCCUGCCCCUAACAGGUAGGAGGGAGGUGUCUCUGUUGGUUAUCAAAGACCUUUGGUUUGUCACACGUUACCUGCUCAGUCCUCCUCUCCUUCAGCCUUCUGGAGACAUUGUCCAUAUGGAUCUGGGGAGCUUUUCUGUGCCAAUUCAGAGUUUAGCUACCUCAGCAGCUCAGUGCACUCCUAAGUGUGCCAGAAAGAAUGAACAGAAACAGCAUCCCAGUGUGUCACACACUGGGCAGCAUCCCAGGGUGUCAAGGGAAAGACCAAGGCCUCCAGCCUUGAGACUGAAGGAUAGUACUGCCAGAGUGCUGCAUAUCCAUUGCACCUCCCAGCCUCAUUGCAGUGUAUGGAUCAAAAUCUGCUGAGGGAUGCCUCUCCAAAUUAUGUCACGUGAAGGGCUCAUACCAAAUGGGUGAGCAUGAGCUUUAACCAGUGGCAAAACCAUCCACCUGUAUUUUCAAUCCCCCUGGCCCUUCUCAAUCCUCUGCUGUUCCUUUGGGUGGCACCUGAGGCAAGCAGGGGCAGAGCUCUGCCUGCAGCCCAGAGCACCCCUCUCCUGCCUCGCUGCAACCCUUUAGCUACAGCCCUCUGUGAGAAACCCUGGCUCCAUGAAGAUCCCCAUUUGUCUGUGUUUUGACCUCUGACUCUUUAUAAAAUGUGCAAGUAUAUUUCUAAAAUAACAGUUGCUUUAGUAA
Long non-coding RNA from Pezoporus occidentalis (night parrot), 910 nucleotides. RefSeq lists it as uncharacterized. Lineage: Eukaryota; Metazoa; Chordata; Aves; Psittaciformes; Psittacidae. The record is from RefSeq and is a predicted model, not a curated record. The transcript has 2 exons.